RNAcentral lists this non-coding RNA (24 nucleotides) under Rattus norvegicus (Norway rat). The record is from RNAcentral. Lineage: Eukaryota; Metazoa; Chordata; Mammalia; Rodentia; Muridae.
UUCUUCCAGUUGGUCCAACAUUGC